UAUUUAAGCAAAGCUAUUUUGUAAGUUUGGGCGGGGGUUGACGACUGCGACAACUUUCUGAGAAAUUGUCCAUGUUGCUUUAUGCUGGAGGGGUGCAGCUCGUGAUCCUUCAAAUUGAGACAAACAGAAAGUAACUAAAAGGAGUAUGAUCAGCAACACUGCUCAAAAGCAAACGGCAUCAGGCACUGCUCUACAUCUUCAGUAUCGAGCCACCUCAGCCACCGUGCCAACACAGCUGCUCUGAGAUCACACACGGCGAGUGAGAUCACAGCUCUGAUCCAUCUGAAAAGAAAGCCAGCACCACGCAAAAACAAACUCAAAAAACCCCUGACCGGUACAGAAUAUCAGCUGACCUUUUAAGCCAGAAACUGAUCUACCAGAUAAGAGCAUAAAAUACUGUAUUAUCUUUCCCUGCCUCUGCUCUGACCUCAGCAGCCACUCUGAUGCAUUACUCCCUAGACUGCCUAGAAAUAAAGCAAAGUAACAAGAUUUUAA
Long non-coding RNA from Parus major (Great Tit), 495 nucleotides. RefSeq lists it as uncharacterized. The record is from RefSeq and is a predicted model, not a curated record. NCBI's taxonomy places the organism in Eukaryota, Metazoa, Chordata, Aves, Passeriformes, Paridae. The transcript is spliced from 2 exons.